This 699-nucleotide ribosomal RNA is filed under the name Cladosporium sp. CPC 15513. Its description in RNAcentral is "eukaryotic LSU rRNA". The stretch from base 265 to 418 matches the Rfam family "5.8S ribosomal RNA". Lineage: Eukaryota; Fungi; Ascomycota; Dothideomycetes; Cladosporiales; Cladosporiaceae. The record is from RNAcentral.
AGGUCGGCAACGACCACCCAGGGCCGGAAAGUUGGUCAAACCCGGUCAUUUAGAGGAAGUAAAAGUCGUAACAAGGUCUCCGUAGGUGAACCUGCGGAGGGAUCAUUACAAGUGACCCCGGUCUAACCACCGGGAUGUUCAUAACCCUUUGUUGUCCGACUCUGUUGCCUCCGGGGCGACCCUGCCUUCGGGCGGGGGCUCCGGGUGGACACUUCAAACUCUUGCGUAACUUUGCAGUCUGAGUAAACUUAAUUAAUAAAUUAAAACUUUUAACAACGGAUCUCUUGGUUCUGGCAUCGAUGAAGAACGCAGCGAAAUGCGAUAAGUAAUGUGAAUUGCAGAAUUCAGUGAAUCAUCGAAUCUUUGAACGCACAUUGCGCCCCCUGGUAUUCCGGGGGGCAUGCCUGUUCGAGCGUCAUUUCACCACUCAAGCCUCGCUUGGUAUUGGGCAACGCGGUCCGCCGCGUGCCUCAAAUCGACCGGCUGGGUCUUCUGUCCCCUAAGCGUUGUGGAAACUAUUCGCUAAAGGGUGUUCGGGAGGCUACGCCGUAAAACAACCCCAUUUCUAAGGUUGACCUCGGAUCAGGUAGGGAUACCCGCUGAACUUAAGCAUAUCAAUAAGCGGAGGAAAAGAAACCAACAGGGAUUGCUCUAGUAACGGCGAGUGAAGCAGCAAUAGCUCAAAUUUGAAAUCUGGCG